CGUCGUGAGGCGGAAUCUGAAGAAAGCCGGAUAAAAGGUCUCCUGAAGGGCAAAACUCUGGCCUGACGAACAGAAAUCGCAUACAAGGCCGUAAAUGAGGGUGAGUUUGCCAGACAAAACAAAGCCCGGUAGCUACACGGAAUCAUUUACGGUAAAUGCGGCAGGUAAAGAGGGAAAGAACG
Molecule: non-coding RNA, 182 nt
Filed under: human gut metagenome
Source: RNAcentral